UGGAGAUUGCAUCCCACGCAGGCAGCCCCCUUCCGUACAAGAGAGGCUGGCGGUUACCUUUCUUGGGGAGACGCGUCCGACUGCUUCAUUGUGGGGGCCUCAGGAGCGGAGGAUCGGGUCCCGCCCGAGGUGACGCGUAAACCCAGACUCUCAGCAACGCGGGUAGGAAGGACCCUUGAAGUUCCGCGGCGACCACGGAACUGUGCCUUCGAUCUCCACAGUCGGCUGAAACCAGCAGCCCAGGACAAGUGGACCAGCCAGCAAGACCCAGACCAUCCAAACCGGCUGAUCCUACGACAGGACCCAGAUGCCAGUGAAAGUGACCACAGCCCUGCUCUAGUCACCCCGGAAGCUGACCAGUCUACGCACGGCCGAAGCUUCGUCAAGGAAGUAAAUGUAGUUAGAAAUCUUAAGCCCAGUAAUUUUCCUUGUCAUCUUAAUUGUUUUACUAUUAACCUGUCGCUUUGCUCAACCCCCUCCUCUGGGCAAACAUCUCUUGUCCAUCCUAGGUACAAACAUGCUACUCUUCCCUUUGUUCUUGCUGCUCUCGCUAGAUCUAUGUCAGAAGGAGGGAUAUGCGGAGAGUUUAAUUUAACUAAUUGUUGCCUAAAAAUCGAUGACAAUG
Molecule: long non-coding RNA, 625 nt
Filed under: Homo sapiens (human)
Lineage: Eukaryota; Metazoa; Chordata; Mammalia; Primates; Hominidae
Description: non-protein coding lnc-POLRMT-6:12
Source: RNAcentral